UAAGGGGGCCGGUGCUCCCCACGGAUUGCAAAUCCGUUGAAGGGUCUAAUACACUCUUGUUCGGUUCGACUCCGAACCCA
RNAcentral lists this transfer RNA (80 nucleotides) under Desulfoprunum sp. Its description in RNAcentral is "tRNA-OTHER". The record is from RNAcentral. Lineage: Bacteria; Pseudomonadati; Thermodesulfobacteriota; Desulfobulbia; Desulfobulbales; Desulfobulbaceae.